RNAcentral lists this ribosomal RNA (500 nucleotides) under uncultured bacterium. Its description in RNAcentral is "bacterial SSU rRNA". It matches the Rfam family "Bacterial small subunit ribosomal RNA", at positions 29 to 518 of the family's 1533-position model. The record is from RNAcentral.
AACAAACGCUGGCGGCGUGUCUUAAGCAUGCAAGUUGAGCGGCAAGGAGGAGAGAUCCUCCCUAGAGCGGCGGACUGGUGAGUAACGCGUGGGUAAUCUAUCGUAGGCAUGGGGAUAGUCACUAGAAAUAGUGGGUAAUACCGAAUACGUUCCAUGAGGGGAGUACUUAUGGAAGAAAGGGUGCUACGGCACUGGCCUUAGGUGAGCUCGCGUCCCAUUAGCUAGUUGGUGAGGUAAAGGCCCACCAAGGCGAUGAUGGGUAGCCGGCCUGAGAGGGUGUACGGCCACACUGGGACUGAGAUACGGCCCAGACUCCUACGGGAGGCAGCAGCUAAGAAUAUUCCGCAAUGGACGAAAGUCUGACGGAGCGACGCCGCGUGGAUGAAGAAGGCCGAAAGGUUGUAAAGUUCUUUUGCUAGGGGAGAAUAAGUGAGGAGGGAAUGCCCUCAUGAUGACAAGGACUAGCGAAUAAGCCCGGCAACUACGUGCCAGCAGCCGAC